Molecule: long non-coding RNA, 655 nt
Filed under: Calidris pugnax (ruff)
Lineage: Eukaryota; Metazoa; Chordata; Aves; Charadriiformes; Scolopacidae
Description: lncRNA (ENSCPUG00000018007.1)
Source: RNAcentral
GAGGCAAGUCACUUCUGAGAUGGUGAAAUAAACGGUGCCUCUCCAUUAAUGUCAGCAUUCUCAGUCUCUAUAUAUGUUCUUUUUAAACCUUAACAGCACCAGCCUCCUAAUAGUAACUCUCUGUGCAAACCCUGCUGGGAUGUGACGUCCUUCUCUGACAGAAGUAGUCAUGGGAGUUGCUGAUGGACAGUCACGGUGAAUGUUCCUCAGCAGUCCAAGCAGGAUGUUUUUACAAAUCUCUUGCUGAAAGUCUCAGAUCUGCUGUUUUUCCUCAUGAGAAUUGCAGACGGGAAGGCGGAUCGUUGCAGCUCAAGUUUAAAGCAGCAAGUAGCAAGUCAAGAUCCCUCAGAAGAUAGAUCACCACUUGGAAGGAGCCAUGACACUGAGUCUCUGCGCUUACUCCGCACUCUGGAACGGGCCCUGCUCUUUGGUUCUGCCCCUCUGGUAAGUCUCUCCACCCCAGGCAAGACAGUGGAAGAUGCUUCUGGGAGAAAAGCACCUUGAAGAUAAUUCUCUUUCUUCUCACAAUGAGUUACCUAAAUAUCGCUGCUCUAGUGUUUGGCUGGUUUCAGGUUUGCAGAGCUAUAAAAUAUCUGAUCAUCCCAGAGGUGUGGGAGGAGCUGAAGGACAUCUCUUACUUUUGAUGAAGCACCCA